This 465-nucleotide ribosomal RNA is filed under the name uncultured Veillonellaceae bacterium. RNAcentral describes it as "bacterial SSU rRNA". It matches the Rfam family "Bacterial small subunit ribosomal RNA", at positions 338 to 795 of the family's 1533-position model. Lineage: Bacteria; Bacillati; Bacillota; Negativicutes; Veillonellales; Veillonellaceae. The record is from RNAcentral.
CCUACGGGAGGCUGCAGUGGGGAAUCUUCCGCAAUGGACGAAAGUCUGACGGAGCAACGCCGCGUGAGUGAAGAAGGUUUUCGGAUCGUAAAGCUCUUUCGUCAGGGACGAACGUAUUUCUUGUAAAUAAUGAGAGAUAGUGACGGUACCUGAAUAAGAAGCCACGGCUAACUACGUGCCAGCAGCCGCGGUAAUACGUAGGUGGCAAGCGUUGUCCGGAAUUAUUGGGCGUAAAGCGCGCGCAGGCGGGAUAUCAAGUCUGUCUUAAAAGUGCGAGGCUCAACCUCGUGAGGGGACAGAAACUGGUAUUCUUGAGUGUCGGAGAGGAAAGUGGAAUUCCAAGUGUAGCGGUGAAAUGCGUAGAGAUUUGGAAGAACACCAGUGGCGAAGGCGACUUUCUGGACGAUGUCUGACGCUGAGGCGCGAAAGCUAGGGGAGCGAACGGGCUUAGAUACCCGAGUAGUC